This 22-nucleotide microRNA is filed under the name Homo sapiens (human). RNAcentral describes it as "hsa-miR-5685". Lineage: Eukaryota; Metazoa; Chordata; Mammalia; Primates; Hominidae. The record is from miRBase by way of RNAcentral.
ACAGCCCAGCAGUUAUCACGGG